This 805-nucleotide ribosomal RNA is filed under the name Acaulospora colombiana. RNAcentral describes it as "bacterial SSU rRNA". It matches the Rfam family "Eukaryotic small subunit ribosomal RNA", at positions 278 to 1117 of the family's 1831-position model. Lineage: Eukaryota; Fungi; Glomeromycota; Glomeromycetes; Diversisporales; Acaulosporaceae. RNAcentral also lists the same sequence under 1 other name. The record is from RNAcentral.
CAUAGUACAAAGCGGUAUUACGUGCACACAUUCGUCUCAUACAGUCAAUAAGGGUUCGAUUCCGGAGAGGGAGCCUGAGAAAUGGCUACCACAUCCAGGAAGGCAGCAGGCGCGCAAAUUACCCAAUCCCGACACGGGGAGGUAGUGACAAUAUGUAACAAUAUACGGCCUUAUACGUCGUAGAAUUGGAAUGAGUACAAUUUAAAUCCCUUAACGAGGAACAAUUGGAGGGCAAGUCUGGUGCCAGCAGCCCCGGUAAUUCCGCUCCAAUAGCGUAAAUUAAAGUUGUUGCAGUUAAAAAGCUCGUAGUUGGACCUUGGACCUGGACGGGCGGUCCGCCUCACGGCGAGUACUGUCUUGCUGGGUCUUUCCUCUUGGUGAUCUGUUGUUUCGGCAGCAGGGAACCAGGACCUUUACUUUGAAAAAAUUAGAGUGUUCAAAGCAGGCUCGACGCCGGAAUAUAUUAGCAUGGAAUAAUAAAAUAGGACGUGCGGUUCUAUUUUGUUGGUUUUUGGAAUCGCCGUAAUGAUUAAUAGGGACAGUCGGGGGCAUUAGGACUCACAUGCUAGAGGUGAAAUUCUUGGGAUUUUGUGAAGACUAACUUCUGCGAAAGCAUUUUGCCCAAGGAUGUUUUCAUUGAUCAGGGAACAAAGGGUGAGGGGUAUCGAAAACCAUGAGAUACCGUUUGUAUUCUUAAGAGUUAAACUAUGCCCGACCAGGGGAUCGGGUCGAUGGUUAUCUUUUUUGACCCGGUUGUAAUAAGCCAUAACGGGGAGACCCAAAGUGUUUGGGGGUACACAACAGG